Molecule: ribosomal RNA, 1245 nt
Filed under: Amynthas sp. 2 LZ-2016
Lineage: Eukaryota; Metazoa; Annelida; Clitellata; Crassiclitellata; Megascolecidae
Description: 16S ribosomal RNA
Rfam family: Archaeal large subunit ribosomal RNA (bases 548-1245)
Source: RNAcentral
GCCCAAAACAACAAAUCUUUAUAUUUAUUAAACAUAUAAACAACUAAAUUAAUAACUAACUAGUACAGAAAUGGAAGAAACAAUAAAUAAAAGUAAAUUUUAAUAAUUGUACCUUGUGCAUUAUGGUUUUACAAGAAAAAAAUUAAAACAUACAUCCCGAAUUCUAAAUGAGAUGUUAAACUGCUGUCAUGAACCCACUAAUAGCUGUAGAAAAAGCUUUAAAAGACAUUUUAACAGAGGCUACAUACCAUACGCAUAAGAAUAUAGCUGGUUUUCAAUAAACAUUAUACAUUAAAACAUAUAAUAACAUUAUAGUGUAAAAUUAUCGAGGAUAAGCCCGAUAAUUAAUGCAAUACUAAUAUAUUCUAGUAUUAUACUAUAGGCCUAAAAUCAGCCAAUAAAAAUACUUUAUCGUAAAAUAUACUGAUAAAAUAUAUACUACACAAAUGCUAAAUAAAAUUGAAAAAGUGGAGAAACUAAUUACCCACCUAUAAAAUGUAAAGAUUAGUAUUAUAAAUAAAAAAUAUAUAAAACCUAGAAAAAAAAAUAUAUAUGUAAUCAUAAUUAAUUAAGGAACUCGGCAAAUUAUUAUUUCGACUGUUUAACAAAAACAUUGUCUUAUGAAUAUAAUAUAAGAUAAUACCUGCCCAGUGACAUACUGUUUAACGGCCGCGGUAUCCUAACCGUGCAAAGGUAGCAUAAUCACUUGCCUAUUAAUUGUAGGCUAGAAUGAACGGGUUAACGAAAUAAAGACUGUCUCAAUUAAUUACCUAAAAAUUAUUCUCUACAUGAAGAAAAGUAGAUAUACUCGAAGGACAAGAAGACCCUAUAGAGCUUAAUUUAAAAUAUAGAACCAUACUAUAAAAUUUAUUCGGUUGGGGCGACCCAGGGCUAAAAAUCACCCAUUACACAAAAGAUAAAUUAAUCUAGCAAAUGACCCGUAAGAUCAUAAAAACAAGCUACCUUAGGGAUAACAGGCUAAUCCCACUCAAGAGUCCUUAUCAACAGUGGGGUUUGGCACCUCGAUGUUGGCUUAGGGUAUCAAUAUAGCGCAAAAGUUAUAUAAAGAUGGUUUGUUCAACCAAUAACUCCCUACAUGAGCUGAGUUCAGACCGGCGUAAGCCAGGUUAGCUUCUAUCCUCGAUAACAUAAUCUGUUCCUAGUACGAAAGGACCUGAAUAGAGUAAUUACUUAUUUAAAAGAAUUCAUAUAACUAAAUAUUAAUAACUAUUACUAUAAACUAUA